CACGGGGGCUUACAUGGCUGCCGCUCCCCUCGCCUGCGCGCUGCUUCCUGCUCCGACGGGCGCAAGGCAUCAUGGGACACGGAGUCCUGACUUUCUGCCUGUGCGCCGAGGCACGCUCCACACGCACACUCGCGUGAUGGCCGAUACCAGUCCGAAAGUCCACUCUUGAGGACCGACCGAUACCGAGUUCGGAAUGAUCCAGGAAACUCCAGUGAACGCACUGACGGCUCAUUGCGACCGAAAACCUUUCUUUCUUUCUGACGCAUGCGACGAUUCGUCGACGAGGAGAACUUACUCGACGUCGGCGUUCUGGCCUUAAGUAUCGGCGGCCGGUGUCGGCAUCCUUCACGAGCACCCGAUACAUUGAAAUGAGGCCGCUGUUGGCCCGAUACCGAUACCUGGUAUCCGUAUUCCACCGUCCUUAGUAAUGUUUUUUUUUAUUAUUAUUAUUAAUCUCACACUGAGAUCCAAUGGAAGUACUUCAUCGGUAAAUUGUCUUUUGAUUGACAAUUGGAGAUGCUUUCAAGUGUAACGUUUAAUCAAUAAAUGUAGAACGAGUUGAAAGGAGCACAUCUGCAAUGAAGUCACAAAUAAAUAAUAGCACCAUAAGUUGGAGUGGCAACACAACGUCGACGUGGCGGGAAGACGACAACAAAACAACGCGCGCAAAGAUGCCAAUCGUCAACCUUUUUCUGUCACAUUUACUUGUAUGCAAAUGUCCUUUUUUUGAAGCAGAGGAAAGUGAUGUCGUGUUGCUUAGAGUACACGGGGUGAUAUUUCCUUGACGCGUGCUUCGGUGGCUUGUAAUUCUACACUUGGCCUCCCAGGUGGCGCCACUUAAAGGGAAGUUUGCAAUUUUCA
Phyllopteryx taeniolatus (common seadragon) is the source of this 861-nucleotide long non-coding RNA. RefSeq lists it as uncharacterized. The transcript has 2 exons. NCBI's taxonomy places the organism in Eukaryota, Metazoa, Chordata, Actinopteri, Syngnathiformes, Syngnathidae. The record is from RefSeq and is a predicted model, not a curated record.